RNAcentral lists this non-coding RNA (37 nucleotides) under Schistosoma margrebowiei. The record is from RNAcentral. Lineage: Eukaryota; Metazoa; Platyhelminthes; Trematoda; Strigeidida; Schistosomatidae.
AACUGACGAGUCCUAGAUAGGACGAAACGCGAGUCCU